Long non-coding RNA from Vigna unguiculata (cowpea), 858 nucleotides. RefSeq lists it as uncharacterized. NCBI's taxonomy places the organism in Eukaryota, Viridiplantae, Streptophyta, Magnoliopsida, Fabales, Fabaceae. The record is from RefSeq and is a predicted model, not a curated record.
ACCUGCAAAAUCGUUAAUCAAAAACAUUUGUCAUGUACAGCCAGAAAAAAGAUCCCACAUGAUUUCAUUUUAACUAAGUGGGGUGAAAUAUUUUCUAGUUGGGAAAUUAUUGUUUGGCUAAGUUUGCUUGACAAACUUUUGACAAUAUACAUGUGGUUGUGGUUGUGGGAUGGCGGCAUCUCUCAAUGGGUGAAAGGAAUUGAUUUUUGAGGGAAUGAAAAAAAAAUGGUUGAAUCCAUUUGUCUCAUACUACGAGUAUAGUGAGAAAAUAUAUUUUCAUACACUAUACACUGUUGGGAUGGUGAGAAAGGAUCUAUUUUACAUUCACAGGGUUAUAAUUGGUGAUGCCAUUGAAAUUCUUAUAAAAAUGGGAAAUGCCUUACUUUGAGUUUUGAAUUAUUGAUUUACAUUUAUGACAAAAUCUAAAAAUAUCACUGAUCCAAUUGGAGUACUUCUACGUACAGAUGGACUUUAACAGAAAACUAAAGAGUAACGGCAUAACUGUAUUUUUUUAUGAUAUUAAGUGGUAGAGAUGUCAAAUUGUUACCGUAAGUGGAGGGAUUAUUGAUCAAAUCAAGAACUAACGGAAUCCAUUCAUUGACUCGCUUUAGACAUUGGCCACUUUUGGAUUUGACCCUCUGUGAUGGAAUACAACCGAGUGGACCUAAGCCAUGGAAGACUAUUUUUCGUGCUCCCAGUUGAUAAAGACUCUGGUAUAAUCAGAUUCUUUAGUAGUUGAUUGAAAUAUAGAUAGAUGUAUGAAUGAUACUGAUGUGAAGAAGUAUUUCUUACUAGAACAUAGUUUGUUCAGAUAUUCUAUAAAGUUAAUUUAACAUGCAUAUACUGCAUUGAUUUUUA